GCUGGGCACGGUGGCACUUGCCUGUAGUCCCAGCUACACAGGAGGCUGAGGCUGGAGGAUCGCUUGAGUCCAGGAGUUAUGGGCUGUAGUGCGCUAUGCCGAUCGGAUGUCUGCACUAAGUUCGGCAUCAGUAUGGUGACCUCCCAGGAGCGGAGGCCCACUAGGUUGCCUAAGGCGGGGUGAACCUGCCCAGGUCGGAAACGGAGCAGGUCAAAACUCCUGUGCUGAUCAAUACAAUAGUGGGAUCAUGCCUGUGAAUAGCCACUGCACUCCAGCCUGGGCAACAUAGUGAGACCCCAUCUCU
RNAcentral lists this signal recognition particle RNA (304 nucleotides) under Saimiri boliviensis boliviensis (Bolivian squirrel monkey). Its description in RNAcentral is "Metazoan signal recognition particle RNA (ENSSBOG00000007589.1)". It matches the Rfam family "Metazoan signal recognition particle RNA". From Rfam's summary of the family: The signal recognition particle (SRP) is a universally conserved ribonucleoprotein. It is involved in the co-translational targeting of proteins to membranes. The eukaryotic SRP consists of a 300-nucleotide 7S RNA and six proteins: SRPs 72, 68, 54, 19, 14, and 9. Lineage: Eukaryota; Metazoa; Chordata; Mammalia; Primates; Cebidae. The record is from RNAcentral.